This 1042-nucleotide long non-coding RNA is filed under the name Canis lupus familiaris (dog). RNAcentral describes it as "lncRNA (ENSCAFG00845008266.1)". The record is from RNAcentral. Lineage: Eukaryota; Metazoa; Chordata; Mammalia; Carnivora; Canidae.
AGGGUGGCCUCCUGGGAGGCAGAGGACAGUCGCUGGGCUCAGGGGGCCCCUUGCAGGUGGACCCACAGGACUUGACUAACUACGUGCUGGCAGGAAGACAGGAAGGCAGUCGCAGGAAAUUUCUUGGACUUUGUACGGGACGUGGUGACAGCCUGAACGGAGAAUGGACGGCUGGGAACAAGAGGAAGGAGACUUCCUGGGAAGAAAAGCCUCCGAAUUGGCCACGCUAAGCUUGAGAUGACAGUGGACAGGCAAUAUCGAAAUCAAAAUGAAACAAAACACCUGCAACGUCUCAUUCCAGUCAUGGUUUUACCUUCAGACUCUCAAAUACCGCUCUCUCAGGGCCGUUGUUGCUAAAUACCUAUUCCAAUGGCUGUUUUCACACCCGCUGCCUCUUACUAUCAGGACCGUCCUUCGCUCCAAGCCUUGAUGGGUUUCUCCAUCUCUAGUUGUGUCUCUGUACCUUCAGACCCUCAGACAAAGGCAGCUGAUGCUCCAUGAUUCCCCAAGGCCACGCGUGUCUUAAUGAGGACCCGGAAGGAGCAUCUGAAGAGUCAGACGUGUAAGUGGAAACUUACCUGGACCAAUGAAUACCUUGUGUUUGCCUUUGGCACAAAUUUACAUGGACUUAUGCUUUUGCCAUUUGGCCUACUUGAAUUAAUCCACAGAUGUCAAACCAAAUUAAAAAAUUUCCUGUAUGAUUCUUAUUAAAAAAUAUAAAAUGCUAGAUUCAGAAUGUUUGGAAAGAUCUGAGUACUCCCUAGACAGUGAGUUCCUGAGAACUUGGAGAUAUAGCCUAAAGAAAAGUGAGUCUUUCCUUCUUUCUAAGUUUUAGAAUGGCUACAAUCAAUUCUAACUGCACUUAGUUACCUGGAAAACUUGAAUUACUUGCUCCACUUUAAUUCAUGCAAAGUCUUCAACAAUUAAUUUGCCUUUUGAUUAGUAGCAUUAUUAUUAAUUUUUAGAGCCUGCCCUUAUUUACUAUUGGCUCUAUGCUUCUCUGACAUUGGGAAAAUAUAUUGACCAGAUCACAUUUAAAAAC